RNAcentral lists this ribosomal RNA (253 nucleotides) under uncultured bacterium. RNAcentral's name for it is "partial 16S ribosomal RNA". It matches the Rfam family "Bacterial small subunit ribosomal RNA", at positions 524 to 776 of the family's 1533-position model. The record is from RNAcentral.
UACGAACUGUGCAAACGUUAUUCGGAAUCACUGGGCUUAAAGGGUGCGUAGGCGGCUGUUUAAGUAGGGUGUGAAAGCCCCCGGCUCAACCGGGGAAUUGCGCCCUAAACUGGACAGCUUGAGUGAGAUAGGGGUGUGUGGAACUUCCAGUGGAGCGGUGAAAUGUGUUGAUAUUGGAAGGAACGCCGGUAGCGAAAGCGACACACUGGGUCUCAACUGACGCUGAGGCACGAAAGCCAGGGGAGCGAACGGG